This 293-nucleotide ribosomal RNA is filed under the name Lembosina aulographoides. Its description in RNAcentral is "5.8S ribosomal RNA". The stretch from base 2 to 148 matches the Rfam family "5.8S ribosomal RNA". From Rfam's summary of the family: 5.8S ribosomal RNA (5.8S rRNA) is a component of the large subunit of the eukaryotic ribosome. The record is from RNAcentral. Lineage: Eukaryota; Fungi; Ascomycota; Dothideomycetes; Asterinales; Asterinaceae.
AAACUUUCAACAACGGAUCUCUUGGUUCUGGCAACGAUGAAGAACACAGCCAAAUGUGAUAAGCAAUGCGAAUCGCACUCAGUGAAUCAUCGGAUUUUUGAACGCACAUUGCACCUGUCUUCGGACAGGUACGCCUGUCUGAGCGUCGUCACAACAUUCAAGCUUGGCUUGCAGUGGGCAAUGCGGACGCGAGUCGGCAGGCCUGAAACGCAAUGGCGCCGGUAGAUCACCUCGAGCAUGGUUAAAGUCUUGCAGCGAGGAGGGUAUGCAGGCGGCCUCAACAGGUGACCUAG